RNAcentral lists this long non-coding RNA (204 nucleotides) under Elaeis guineensis (African oil palm). RNAcentral's name for it is "long non-coding RNA (EGUI_LNC010374)". Lineage: Eukaryota; Viridiplantae; Streptophyta; Magnoliopsida; Arecales; Arecaceae. The record is from RNAcentral.
AGGGUAGGAGUCUCGAUGAUGUUCUUUCUCAAGUGUUUAGCCCAAAUAAUCUAUACAAUACAUGAAAGGGGAGUUCAGAGCUCCUCAAAUGCACCACAUGUUGUCUUCUAAAGGGCACACGUAUCAGCGCCCUAGCUUCUGAACCUCCUUUUAUUGUGUGUUUUAUGUGUUCAGCUUCAUAGAUGAUUCGGUGGAGAAGUCAGG